This is a long non-coding RNA of Cygnus olor (mute swan), 1980 nucleotides long. RefSeq lists it as uncharacterized. The transcript has 2 exons. NCBI's taxonomy places the organism in Eukaryota, Metazoa, Chordata, Aves, Anseriformes, Anatidae. The record is from RefSeq and is a predicted model, not a curated record.
CAUGGGCUAUUGCAGCGGCCGCUGCACGCUGGUGGCGGUGUGCGGCGCGCAGCUGUUGGGAUUUUAGCCUGCAUCUCAACUGGCAAGUCACCAGUUACAUGGAACUGACAAGUUACCAGUUACAUGAAUGGGAAUAGGAAAAGUCUAUCAUAUCCUGCAUUCAUACCAUAACAGAUUGGGGUCUAGUUUCUUCACUCUUCUUUUCUUAUGAAGGAAUUCUCAUUAGUAGAAUUUUGUACAGAAAGCAGCAUAUGAAGUCGAUUCUGUUAUUUCUGAGAGAUGUCAAAAUGAUGAUGCUGGUCAAAUGUUACAUCACCUUUCUGAAUGCAAAAAUGCAAGACCAUUUGCAGAUGGCAGGAGAGAGAUUCUUGCUGUCUCAUUUAAGCAUGUAAUAUGUGGGUUGUGAACCACCUUAUGGAGGUGGCUGCCUCUUUCCAUUGACUGUAUUGGGUCGUUGAGUUGCUGCCCAGUUGGGGAUGAAAUGUCUGCCUUUAUUCUGCAUGCACCUUUGUUUAUUUACCACAUUACACAGUUAAACCUGCUCAUCUUUGAUGGUAUCUUUCUAUUAAGAAGAGAGGACAGACUGUGAAGCUGUUAUCUAGGAUUUAGGCAAAAUACACAUGGAUGAUGUGUAACGUUUCUUCUGGAUGAAUGGAAGUCAUGUUAGAGGCCUGGAACAAGGGCCAGGGUGCUGCCCCUGCUCACCUUGAAUAACAUUUGCUGAUUGAUUCCAUAGUAGUGAAUGAAAAUGGUUUCCAGAACAAGACUUGAGACCCUCUAUCUCGUAAUGCUAAGGUACUGGUUAAUAUUUAUGUAACAAAACUUGACAGUCUUAGGAACUAAUGUAAUUCCCUUCCAGGUGACUCAUACCAUCAGUCAAUUUACUAAUUAAAAAUUCCUUUAAACUUCUUCAUAGGAGACUACUAAUUGUCCCGCAACAAGUAUAUUCUUUUCACUUGAAGAUAAAAAGCUUUUGUGAGGAAAAGAAGACAGAUACUAUGAUGUCUCUUUACUACAAUACAUGGAUCUUUGAAAAGUCAUUCUUCAAUAAUUAAACAAAAUGUAAAGUUUGCAAAUUUUUGCCAAGGCCGACAACGGCCCAGCAUUUUCCAUUAUUCUCUGGUCACAGUCUCUGUGGCAGGCUGUUCCAUUACAAAGCACAGAAACAAAAGGAGAAAAGAGCUGGUUGUAUGUCACUGCUGCCUUCACAAAGCUACAAAUACAUUAAACUGAAGAUACUGCUCAUUGUGUACUUGAGCCACCAGUGUCAAAGGUGCUGUGAGUACCACUGAAUAUCAGGCAGUCAUAUGUCAUUACAUCACUAUUCAAAUUGGAAGAGCAAAUGACAGUAAAACAAUUGAAAACACUAGCAGCUAAAAGAGUGAAAAAGAAUAACAUGCUUGCCUGAAAAAAAAAAAAAAGAAUUUAAAAUGUAGAUUACAUUUUUUUUCAUUAGAUAAAAGUUAAUAUUUCCUUUUUUUUUUUUUUUUUUUCUCUCCUUGAAGCCACUCCCAUUCCAUGCUCUUUAGGCCAGUUAGCUUUUAUUUUAUGACACUAGUAGCAGUCACAGACAGUGACAGCAGUUGGUAACAUGCCAGAUGAUGGCACUGGUAGUGUUAACAUAAGACAUGGGCUUCAGUGUAUCCUGAAAACAGUUCAUUGUCUUUGAUUUUAUCAGACUGGCUUUUCUGAGUGUGGAGCUAGCAGUAAAUUUGGUACUUGCAGAGGGAAAACCACAACAAACUGGAGUUGCAUGCAGCAUUCAUCAAUAUACCCAGUGAUGCGUGUUUCUCAGAAUGUUUACAGGUCUGCUGUCUAGUACAAUUUUUAUUUAUUUAUUUAUUUUAAAUGAAAGCCAUCACCCGGAGGCAGAUACAAAAGAAAGUUGCUGGCUUCAACCACUGGAAGAGAUGGUGUCUGUUCUGUAUAGUGCUAAACUGUGCUUUUUGAGAUGCAUAAUAAAAGUUAUUUAUGGGCACU